ACUCCGGUUUUGAUGGCACCGGCGAAGGGAACCCAGGCCAACCUGGAAGCCAGGAAUGGCCGAACACUCUAGGCCAGAUCUUUAUCUUGAUUGUAAAGACAAUGUUUCCUGAGCAGCUGGAGGU
This is an unclassified non-coding RNA of Peromyscus maniculatus bairdii (prairie deer mouse), 124 nucleotides long. Ensembl annotates it as predicted gene, 27834. Lineage: Eukaryota; Metazoa; Chordata; Mammalia; Rodentia; Cricetidae. The record is from Ensembl.